UAUUAUAUAUAGUGCUGGCACGGAUUUUGAAUAUCUAGUAGGGAAAAUUACAUGGGAUGGAAAACAUCCCUAUGUAAUUAGUUAACAAUGAUAUAGUUUAAUUUAUUUAUUGUGAAUAAAUACAGUUUCAAUUUUUUUGCCAUAAUUAAGGGGACCCACUACCUAUUUGUAUACAUGAUAAAAAUAGUCAUCCAAAGAUUUUGUAUAUAAUUUUAUUCAAAAUCAAAUUUAUCUAUCUUAUUCUCAUUCCAUAUCUUUCUCUUACGAUUACUCUUCCCUUCCAUUUUGACCUUCUCCCUCCGAUGGUUCUUUCACUUUUCGCAGGUUCUAUGGCAAGACAUAAACAAAUUCAAAUUGAACAAUCUAUUGAAGAACUGAGAUCCAUGACAAAAAAAAUGAUGUAAUGACAAGUCAUCAACAACGCGAAAUCUAGUGUCAUUAAGAUUGUUGAAGGUGGAAUUAAGAAAAAAGCCAUAAACAUUGAUUCAGAGGAGAUUGAAUCUGCCUUAUCAGAACUGGACAAAUCUGAAGAAUAUCAAGAACAUCAGGUAGUGUAAUUUAUAUAUAAAUAACAAAGUUAUGCAUAUAGUGGGUUGUAUAUUAAGGUAAUAUAUACAAAGUAUUAUGAGACAAUCUUAUUGUAUAUUCUUUAGUUGUAUACCAACUACUAAAUUUAGGUAUAUAGUGUGUUGUAUAAUAAGGUAACAUAUACAAAGUCUUAUGAGGUA
Solanum lycopersicum (tomato) is the source of this 728-nucleotide long non-coding RNA. RefSeq lists it as uncharacterized. Lineage: Eukaryota; Viridiplantae; Streptophyta; Magnoliopsida; Solanales; Solanaceae. The record is from RefSeq and is a predicted model, not a curated record.